Molecule: ribosomal RNA, 433 nt
Filed under: uncultured bacterium
Lineage: Bacteria
Description: partial 16S ribosomal RNA
Rfam family: Bacterial small subunit ribosomal RNA
Source: RNAcentral
AACGAACGCUGGCGGCAUGCCUAACACAUGCAAGUCGAACGAGACCUUCGGGUCUAGUGGCGCACGGGUGCGUAACGCGUGGGAACCUGCCCUUAGGUUCGGAAUAACUCCCCGAAAGGGGUGCUAAUACCGGAUAAUGUCUUCGGACCAAAGAUUUAUCGCCAUUGGAUGGGCCCGCGUUGGAUUAGCUAGUUGGUAGGGUAAAAGCCUACCAAGGCGACGAUCCAUAGCUGGUCUGAGAGGAUGAUCAGCCACACUGGGACUGAGACACGGCCCAGACUCCUACGGGAGGCAGCAGUGGGGAAUAUUGGACAAUGGGCGAAAGCCUGAUCCAGCAAUGCCGCGUGAGUGAUGAAGGCCUUAGGGUUGUAAAGCUCUUUUACCCGGGAUGAUAAUGACAGUACCGGGAGAAUAAGCUCCGACUAACUCCGUG